CCUACGGGAGGCUGCAGUAGGGAAUAUUGCACAAUGGGGGAAACCCUGAAGCAGCAACGCCGCGUGGGUGAAGAAGUAAUUCGGUAUGUAAAGCUCUAUCGGCAGAGAAGAAAAUGACGGUACCUGAGUAAUACGCCCCGGCUAACUCCGUGCCAGCAGCCGCGGUAAUACGGAGGGGGCAAGCGUUAUCCGGAUUUACUGGGUGUAAAGGGUGCGUAGACGGCAGUGCAAGUCUGGAGUGAAAGGCUGUGGCUCAACCACCGGACUGCUCUGGAAACUGUACGGCUGGAGUGCAGGAGAGGUAAGUGGAAUUCCUAGUGUAGGGGUGAAAUGCGUAGAUAUUAGGAGGAAUACUAGUGGCGAAGGCGGCCUACUGGACUGUAACUGACGUUGAGGCUCGAAAGCGUGGGGAGCAAACAGGAUUAGAUACCCGAGUAGUC
RNAcentral lists this ribosomal RNA (440 nucleotides) under uncultured bacterium. RNAcentral's name for it is "partial 16S ribosomal RNA". It matches the Rfam family "Bacterial small subunit ribosomal RNA", at positions 338 to 795 of the family's 1533-position model. The record is from RNAcentral.